CAGAGCGUAGCUAAACAGCAAAGCAUCCCACUUACACUGAGAAAAUACCUGUGCAAAUCAGGCCGCCCUGA
This 71-nucleotide transfer RNA is filed under the name Scleropages leichardti (spotted bonytongue). RNAcentral describes it as "tRNA-Val". It matches the Rfam family "tRNA". Rfam says of the family: Transfer RNA (tRNA) molecules are approximately 80 nucleotides in length. Their secondary structure includes four short double-helical elements and three loops (D, anti-codon, and T loops). Lineage: Eukaryota; Metazoa; Chordata; Actinopteri; Osteoglossiformes; Osteoglossidae. The record is from RNAcentral.